This 414-nucleotide non-coding RNA is filed under the name Physcomitrium patens. RNAcentral's name for it is "rRNA SSU_rRNA_eukarya". It matches the Rfam family "Eukaryotic small subunit ribosomal RNA", at positions 1184 to 1612 of the family's 1831-position model. Lineage: Eukaryota; Viridiplantae; Streptophyta; Bryopsida; Funariales; Funariaceae. The record is from Rfam by way of RNAcentral.
AAUGACAACUGAUCUGACUCAACACUGGGAAACUUACCAGGUCCAGACAUAGUACGGAUUGACAGAUUGAGAGCUCUUUCUUGAUUCUGUGGGUGGUGCAUGGCCGUUCUUAGUUGGUGGAGUGAUUUGUCUGGUUAAUUCAGUUAACGAACGAGGCAGAGCUGCUAACCAGUUAAGCAAAGGAUUUUUUCCUUUGCGGCCAACUGCUUACAGGGACUAUCGGCGUCUAGCCGAUGGAAGUUUGAGGCAAUAACAGGUCUGUGAUGCCCUUAGAUGUUAUGGGCCGCACGCUACACUAAUGAAUUCAACGAGUUUAUAACCUGGACCGAUAGGUUUGGUAGGUUUGGGUAAUCUUUUGAAAUUUCAUAGUGAUGGGGAUAGAUCAUUGCAAUUAUUGAUUUUCAACGAGGAAUU